Molecule: ribosomal RNA, 424 nt
Filed under: Verrucomicrobiota bacterium
Lineage: Bacteria; Pseudomonadati; Verrucomicrobiota
Description: Verrucomicrobia bacterium partial 16S ribosomal RNA
Rfam family: Bacterial small subunit ribosomal RNA
Source: RNAcentral
UGAGGAAUAUUGGUCAAUGGACGGAAGUCUGAACCAGCCAAGUAGCGUGCAGGAUGACGGCCCUAUGGGUUGUAAACUGCUUUUAUACGGGGAUAAAGUUAGGGACGUGUCCCUAUUUGCAGGUACCAUACGAAUAAGGACCGGCUAAUUCCGUGCCAGCAGCCGCGGUAAUACGGAAGGUCCAGGCGUUAUCCGGAUUUAUUGGGUUUAAAGGGAGCGUAGGCUGGAGAUUAAGUGUGUUGUGAAAUGUAGACGCUCAACGUCUGAAUUGCAGCGCAUACUGGUUUCCUUGAGUACGCACAACGUUGGCGGAAUUCGUCGUGUAGCGGUGAAAUGCUUAGAUAUGACGAAGAACUCCGAUUGCGAAGGCAGCUGACGGGAGCGCAACUGACGCUUAAGCUCGAAGGUGCGGGUAUCAAACAGG